UUCGGAAGAAUGUAGAGAAAAAG
Molecule: microRNA, 23 nt
Filed under: Apis mellifera (honey bee)
Lineage: Eukaryota; Metazoa; Arthropoda; Insecta; Hymenoptera; Apidae
Description: ame-miR-9890-5p
Source: miRBase by way of RNAcentral